AUCAAUAUAAUAUAAAAAUUAUAUCUAACUUCCAAUUAGAAAAUCUCUUAUGGAGUAUUGUUA
Molecule: transfer RNA, 63 nt
Filed under: Curculionoidea sp. 16 KM-2017
Lineage: Eukaryota; Metazoa; Arthropoda; Insecta; Coleoptera
Description: tRNA-Gly
Source: RNAcentral